This 20-nucleotide unclassified non-coding RNA is filed under the name Chlamydomonas reinhardtii. RNAcentral describes it as "small RNA Cre_3849". Lineage: Eukaryota; Viridiplantae; Chlorophyta; Chlorophyceae; Chlamydomonadales; Chlamydomonadaceae. The record is from RNAcentral.
UUCUGCGAGGACCCCCCGUC